GACAGGGUUUCAUCAUGUUGACCAGGAUGGUCUUGAUCUCUUGACCACGUGAUCCACCUGCCUCGGCCUCCCAAAGUGCUGGGAUUACAGGCGUGAGCCACUGUGCCUGGCCCAUAAGUGUUCUUAAUCAUAGAACUGAUGCAUAUUGGUAUUUAAAAUUGUAAUGUCUGCAGUUACCAUCCUCAAAUACUAAAGUGGUUGAUACUCAGCAAUGAAAGCUGCAUGUGAGUGUGGGAGAGAGAAGGAGGUUCCGGCAGAUUGACAAAUGGAUCCAUGGUUCUGAGAAGGAGCAGGAUGUCAGGUGCACAUUUGUCACCAGAGAAUACUACCAGAAAACCACAUAUUUUUUCUGCAAUAAAUGCUGGAAAGGAAAAAGAAAUGCUGAAAAUAACGAAGUAAUUCCAAUUCUGCUGAUAAAUACCUGGAAAUGCACUAGGUAAAAAUGACAAGAGCAUAACACAUUUAUUC
This 468-nucleotide long non-coding RNA is filed under the name Callithrix jacchus (white-tufted-ear marmoset). Its description in RNAcentral is "lncRNA (ENSCJAG00000078560.1)". Lineage: Eukaryota; Metazoa; Chordata; Mammalia; Primates; Cebidae. The record is from RNAcentral.